Molecule: ribosomal RNA, 403 nt
Filed under: uncultured bacterium
Lineage: Bacteria
Description: bacterial SSU rRNA
Rfam family: Bacterial small subunit ribosomal RNA
Source: RNAcentral
AGGGAGCAAAGGGCGCCACGUGUGGCGCUUUGCGAGUACCUGAAGAAAAAGCAUCGGCUAACUCCGUGCCAGCAGCCGCGGUAAUACGGAGGAUGCGAGCGUUAUCCGGAUUUAUUGGGUUUAAAGGGUGCGCAGGCGGAAUGUCAAGUCAGCGGUAAAAUUUCGGGGCUCAACCCCGUCGUGCCGUUGAAACUGGCGUUCUUGAGUGAGCGAGAAGUAUGCGGAAUGCGUGGUGUAGCGGUGAAAUGCAUAGAUAUCACGCAGAACUCCGAUUGCGAAGGCAGCAUACCGGCGCUCAACUGACGCUCAUGCACGAAAGCGUGGGUAUCGAACAGGAUUAGAUACCCUGGUAGUCCACGCAGUAAACGAUGAAUACUAACUGUCCGGGCAGAAUGAUGCCUGG